UUNCUUAAUAAUGCCUUUAGAUUGUUGUCAA
This 31-nucleotide non-coding RNA is filed under the name Mus musculus (house mouse). The record is from RNAcentral. Lineage: Eukaryota; Metazoa; Chordata; Mammalia; Rodentia; Muridae.